GAAAAAAAUAAUAAAACUACCAAUUUUGCGAUACAGAGAAAGAGAAAGAGAAAGAGAAAGGGAAAAAGGGGAAAAACCUACUCUCUUCAUAUCAGUCUUCUUAACUUUUUUCCUCUCUAAAAAAAACCCUAGCCAUACUACGAUAGAGGCGAUCUCUUCACAUCAAACUCCGCUAGGAGAAAAGAAAAGAAAAAAAAAAGAAAGACUUGCGCCACACUUGAGAUUCGAUUGAUCAUCGCUAUCCCCUUUUGAGUUUUCCAGACUCUGCGAACCAGUGGAUAUUCGUACGGUCGGCCGCUGCCAUACCCUGCCGGGCUUAGACCAUCACAAUCGGCAUCCGUCAAAGCUAAAUACGAUCAAACGCCCCAUAGGUUUUGAGAUACGGAGUUAGAGAUUGGCGCUAUUUUGACGAAAGUGCAUAUUGGCAUGACCAGCAUGAAGAUUUAUUGAGUUUUUUUUAAUGCCUCUUAUAAGUGUUGAAUACAAGUCCAAGUACAAGAUGAAACCGGAUCAACCACAUUCAUAUUGUUUGACAAAGGAGCUGAGAAAAUUAUUGCUAAAACUGCAAAAGAACUUGCAGAGAUGCAAGAAGAGAUGUUGAAAUUAGAUGAGAAUACUUUACCAAAAGAGAUUCAAAAAAUAAUUGGCAAUGAAUAUUUGUUCCAACUGCAUCUUGAUGAAUAUAAUUUGAAGUAUGGAAAAGAAAAUUACACGGUCUCAAAAAUUUUGGAGAUGGAAGUUUUACAUAAGCAAAAAGACUCAAGUAAAGUUGAAGAACAUCAGGAAACAAUGGAGGAAAUUGUAAGAAAAUCAAGGAAGGACAAGUACAUAGCCAAUCAAAAAAUAGAAAUAGGAGAAACAUCUGUUCAAAGACCUGAAAGAAUGCCGCUCCAAAUGCUUCAAAAACGUCCAAAAAGUACUAAGCAAAUUGCUACAAAGAAGAAAAAACACUGAACUCUUUUGUAUAUACUACCUUACUCUACAAGUCUUUAUGUAUUUUAUAGUAUUGCUAAUUAUUAUUUUUUUAACUUUACAAGACCAAACUGAAUGUACUGAAUAAAGCUGACAGAUUAGAACAGCGUUACUAUAAAAUGUAAUUAUGUUUCACAAUUUAGUAUGUUAGACACUGUGAUAGCCCAAAAUGGUUGAUUUCAAAGUGUAUAAGCUGAAUGAAGAAUGUAGACAACAGGAUUUGCUUUAUUAAAAUAAAUAGAUUUUCCCCUAUUGUUUAGUUA
Quercus robur (English oak) is the source of this 1235-nucleotide RNA transcript. RefSeq lists it as uncharacterized. The transcript has 5 exons. Lineage: Eukaryota; Viridiplantae; Streptophyta; Magnoliopsida; Fagales; Fagaceae. The record is from RefSeq and is a predicted model, not a curated record.